CAGGACGAACGCUGGCGGCGUGCCUAAUACAUGCAAGUCGAGCGAAUGAUUAGAGAAGCUUGCUUCUCUCUGAUUUAGCGGCGGACGGGUGAGUAACACGUGGGUAACCUACCCUAUAGACUGGGAUAACUUCGGGAAACCGGAGCUAAUACCGGAUAAUACUUCGAAACACAUGUUUUGAAGUUGAAAGAUGGUUUCGGCUAUCACUAUAGGAUGGACCCGCGGCGCAUUAGCUAGUUGGUGAGGUAACGGCUCACCAAGGCAACGAUGCGUAGCCGACCUGAGAGGGUGAUCGGCCACACUGGGACUGAGACACGGCCCAGACUCCUACGGGAGGCAGCAGUAGGGAAUCUUCCACAAUGGACGAAAGUCUGAUGGAGCAACGCCGCGUGAGUGAAGAAGGAUUUCGGUUCGUAAAACUCUGUUGCAAGGGAAGAACAAGUAGCGUAGUAACUGGCGCUACCUUGACGGUACCUUGUUAGAAAGCCACGGCUAACUACGUGCCAGCAGCGGC
Molecule: ribosomal RNA, 514 nt
Filed under: uncultured bacterium
Lineage: Bacteria
Description: bacterial SSU rRNA
Rfam family: Bacterial small subunit ribosomal RNA
Source: RNAcentral